AGAGUUUGAUCCUGGCUCAGAUUGAACGCUGGCGGCAUGCCUAACACAUGCAAGUCGAACGGUAACAGGCCGCAUGGGAUCCCUUCGGGGUGACCUUGGCGCUGACGAGUGGCGGACGGGUGAGUAAUACUUAGGAAUCUGCCCAAUAGUGGGGGACAACUCGAGGAAACUCGAGCUAAUACCGCAUACGCCCUACGGGGGAAAGCGGGGGAUCUUCGGACCUCGCGCUAUUGGAUGAGCCUAAGUCGGAUUAGCUUGUUGGUAGGGUAAAGGCCUACCAAGGCGACGAUCCGUAGCUGGUCUGAGAGGACGAUCAGCCACACUGGGACUGAGACACGGCCCAGACUCCUACGGGAGGCAGCAGUGGGGAAUAUUGGACAAUGGGCGCAAGCCUGAUCCAGCAAUGCCGCGUGUGUGAAGAAGGCCUGCGGGUUGUAAAGCACUUUCAAUAGAGAAGAAAAGCUUACGGUUAAUACCUGUGAGUCUUGACGUAACCUACAGAAGAAGCACCGCUAACU
This 518-nucleotide ribosomal RNA is filed under the name uncultured bacterium. RNAcentral describes it as "bacterial SSU rRNA". It matches the Rfam family "Bacterial small subunit ribosomal RNA", at positions 8 to 502 of the family's 1533-position model. The record is from RNAcentral.